GGGAAGAGAGAGGAGGGGCGGGGCUUUAUAAUGACGCGCUCGAGGCUACGGAAGAAGGAUGAGGCGAGGAGAUCCCGGCGGUGAACGCGCGGCGGCGUAGAAGGAAGGGGCGCGCGCGUGACGCGCGGGGGUUUCCCUGCGGGAAAGAAACGCGUGACAGGCGGGCCCCGGUUCGGGCGACGCGCGCGGGGCCGGUUCGGGCGCGGUCGGGCGUGGUGGGAACGGGGCCGGUUCGGCCCAUUUGGCCGGGCCGGUCCGGUUUUCUUCCCUUUUUUUUCUUUUAGCCUUUUUUAUCUGUUUUUCUUAUUUCUUUGAUAUCUUUUGAUUUUGAACUCCAAAUUGGCCCAAAUAAAUUCCAGAAAAUUUGUAAAAUCAUGUUUUACCAUGAUACAACUUUUGGGAGCAAUUUCCCCUCAAAAUAAAAUAUAUAAAAUUACAUUUGCCCUAUAAAUGCCUUUAGGGCUAUAUAACUAUUUAAAUAAAAUAGUUUUUCAACUCCAAAUAAUUAUCCAAAAAUUAUGGGAUAGCUCAUUUAUGCAAUAAACCCCUGUUUUAAAUAAACCCUAUUGGUUUGAAGAUCCAAAGCUCAAAUGGGCGAAACCCUAGGGUUUAAAUUGAAAAAAAAACUUUCCAAAGCCUUUUGAGAUUCAAAUUUGAAUUCAAAUAUGCAACUGUGGCAUGAUGCUUAUGAAUGCAAUGCACAUGUAAAAGUUUGAAAUUUUUGGGAUGUUACACCAAUGUACUUCGUCAGCACGAUGCUGCGUG
RNAcentral lists this long non-coding RNA (765 nucleotides) under Brachypodium distachyon (stiff brome). RNAcentral's name for it is "long non-coding RNA (BDIS_LNC002357)". Lineage: Eukaryota; Viridiplantae; Streptophyta; Magnoliopsida; Poales; Poaceae. The record is from RNAcentral.